RNAcentral lists this ribosomal RNA (173 nucleotides) under Scolopsis ciliata. RNAcentral's name for it is "partial 12S rRNA". Lineage: Eukaryota; Metazoa; Chordata; Actinopteri; Spariformes; Nemipteridae. The record is from RNAcentral.
CGCCGCGGUUAUACGAGGGACCCAAGGUGAUAGAUGUCGGCGUAAAGCGUGGUUAGAACAUUUCAAUUAAAAUUAAAGCCGAAACCCUUCACAGCAGUUACAAGUUAUCGAAGCUAGAAAGCCCAAUCACGAAAGUAGCUUUAUAAUAUUUUGACCCCACGAAAACUGGGACC